RNAcentral lists this small RNA (95 nucleotides) under Flavobacterium sp. 123. RNAcentral describes it as "Flavo-1 RNA". Lineage: Bacteria; Pseudomonadati; Bacteroidota; Flavobacteriia; Flavobacteriales; Flavobacteriaceae. The record is from RNAcentral.
UAUUGGCAUCGCGUGAUGGAUAGUAGUGGAAAGCCCACAGCAAAACGAAAUGUAAUGGAGUUUUGUGAGGACUUGUAACGAUAGCCAGACCCGAA